GCUCAAAAAAAUAUUAAAAUAUUGCGCAACAAACACUGAUUCUACCGACCGCAUUGCGCGCGGUUACAAAAAUUUUCUGAAAAUAGAUUGAUUAUUAAUACAAGAGAAAAGA
Long non-coding RNA from Frieseomelitta varia, 112 nucleotides. RefSeq lists it as uncharacterized. The transcript is spliced from 3 exons. Lineage: Eukaryota; Metazoa; Arthropoda; Insecta; Hymenoptera; Apidae. The record is from RefSeq and is a predicted model, not a curated record.